UAUACCGUAGCUUGCUACACCAUAGACUGUGAGUUGCGAACGGGUGAGUAACGCGUAGGUAACCUGCCUGGUAGCGGGGGAUAACUAUUGGAAACGAUAGCUAAUACCGCAUAAUAUUAAUUAUUGCAUGAUAAUUGAUUGAAAGGUGCAAUUGCACCACUACCAGAUGGACCUGCGUUGUAUUAGCUAGUAGGUGAGGUAACGGCUCACCUAGGCGACGAUACAUAGCCGACCUGGGAGGGUGAUCGGCCACACUGGGACUGAGACACGGCCCAGACUCCUACGGGAGGCAGCAGUAGGGAAUCUUCGGCAAUGGACGAAAGUCUGACCGAGCAACGCCGCGUGAGUGAAGAAGGUUUUCGGAUCGUAAAGCUCUGUUGUAAGAGAAGAACGGGUGUGAGAGUGGAAAGUUCACACUGUGACGGUAUCUUACCAGAAAGGGACGGCUAACUACGUGCCAGCAGCCGCGGUAAUACGUAGGUCCCGAGCGUUGUCCGGAUUUAUUGGGCGUAAAGCGAGCGCAGGCGGUUAGAUAAGUCUGAAGUUAAAGGCUGUGGCUUAACCAUAGUACGCUUUGGAAACUGUUUAACUUGAGUGCAGAAGGGGUGAGUGGAAUUCCAUGUGUAGCGGUGAAAUGCGUAGAUAUAUGGAGGAACACCGGUGGCGAAAGCGGCUCUCUGGUCUGUAACUGACGCUGAGGCUCGAAAGCGUGGGGAGCGAACAGGAUUAGAUACCCUGGUAGUCCACGCCGUAAACGAUGAGUGCUAGGUGUUAGGCCCUUUCCGGGGCUUAGUGCCGCAG
Molecule: ribosomal RNA, 801 nt
Filed under: uncultured Streptococcaceae bacterium
Lineage: Bacteria; Bacillati; Bacillota; Bacilli; Lactobacillales; Streptococcaceae
Description: SSU rRNA
Rfam family: Bacterial small subunit ribosomal RNA
Source: RNAcentral